RNAcentral lists this ribosomal RNA (398 nucleotides) under uncultured bacterium. RNAcentral describes it as "bacterial SSU rRNA". It matches the Rfam family "Bacterial small subunit ribosomal RNA", at positions 30 to 431 of the family's 1533-position model. The record is from RNAcentral.
AUUGAACGCUGGCGGAAUGCUUUACACAUGCAAGUCGAACGGCAGCACGGGGCAACCUGGUGGCGAGUGGCGAACGGGUGAGUAAUACAUCGGAACGUGCCCAAUCGUGGGGGAUAACGUAGCGAAAGUUACGCUAAUACCGCAUACGAUCUACGGAUGAAAGCGGGGAUCGCAAGACCUCGCGCGAAUGGAGCGGCCGAUGUCAGAUUAGGUAGUUGGUGGGGUAAAGGCUCACCAAGCCGACGAUCUGUAGCUGGUCUGAGAGGACGACCAGCCACACUGGGACUGAGACACGGCCCAGACUCCUACGGGAGGCAGCAGUGGGGAAUUUUGGACAAUGGGCGCAAGCCUGAUCCAGCCAUUCCGCGUGCAGGAUGAAGGCCUUCGGGUUGUAACGU